Molecule: ribosomal RNA, 158 nt
Filed under: Taiwanofungus camphoratus
Lineage: Eukaryota; Fungi; Basidiomycota; Agaricomycetes; Polyporales; Taiwanofungaceae
Description: 5.8S ribosomal RNA
Rfam family: 5.8S ribosomal RNA
About the family: 5.8S ribosomal RNA (5.8S rRNA) is a component of the large subunit of the eukaryotic ribosome. It is transcribed by RNA polymerase I as part of the 45S precursor that also contains 18S and 28S rRNA. Functionally, it is thought that 5.8S rRNA may be involved in ribosome translocation.
Source: RNAcentral
UAACUUUCAGCAACGGAUCUCUUGGCUCUCGCAUCGAUGAAGAACACGGCGAAAUGUGAUAAGUAAUGUGAAUUGCAGAAUUCAGUGAAUCAUUGAAUCUUUGAACGCACCUUGCGCUCCUUGGUAUUCUGAGGAGCAUGCCUGUUUGAGUGUCAUGG